UAUGGAGGAUGCACACUUGUUGCAGGUGAAAUUUUUUGUUUGGCACGUUCCUUUCCACUUAGCUGGUGGAGGGCCAUACCCUGUGUCGUUGAAGCUAGGAUGCUCCGGCCAGGCUCCUACAGAGAUAAAGCAAAUGUCCAAGUUCGCCUUUGCUGAAUCCCAUGAAGUCCCAUGAUCGCGUCGUGUGAAGGUUUAGCUUGCGAUUUUGGAAUACAGAGACCACUCCCUCCAUCUCUGGCACCAGAUAUACACAUCUUCUUCCUCACUAAGCUUGGCUGCAAAUCCAUUGAAACUUCUUCCAUAACUGUGGACAAGUGAAUCCUUUGCUGAUGAAGCACUGCAAAGAAAUCACAAGAACCAAAAGAUUGUUAAUCAUUCAUAUCUAUAUAUAUGUAAUGCUCCAAAGGUAAAUGCUACUCAAGAAGAAUUAAUGAGACCUUCCUAGUACACUCUGCAGUAUGGUAUGAUGCGUGGAUGCAACGGAUGCAUCGUCUUGAGGCCGAUCCCCCAUGUACACGACGUG
Salvia miltiorrhiza (redroot sage) is the source of this 523-nucleotide long non-coding RNA. RefSeq lists it as uncharacterized. Lineage: Eukaryota; Viridiplantae; Streptophyta; Magnoliopsida; Lamiales; Lamiaceae. The record is from RefSeq and is a predicted model, not a curated record. The transcript is spliced from 3 exons.